RNAcentral lists this ribosomal RNA (495 nucleotides) under uncultured bacterium. Its description in RNAcentral is "partial 16S ribosomal RNA". It matches the Rfam family "Bacterial small subunit ribosomal RNA", at positions 28 to 507 of the family's 1533-position model. The record is from RNAcentral.
GACGAACGCUGGCGGCGUGCCUAAUACAUGCAAGUAGAACGCUGAAGGAGGAGCUUGCUUCUCUGGAUGAGUUGCGAACGGGUGAGUAACGCGUAGGUAACCUGCCUGGUAGCGGGGGAUAACUAUUGGAAACGAUAGCUAAUACCGCAUAACAGUAGAUAUCGCAUGAUAUCUACUUGAAAGGUGCAAUUGCAUCACUACCAGAUGGACCUGCGUUGUAUUAGCUAGUUGGUGAGGUAACGGCUCACCAAGGCGACGAUACAUAGCCGACCUGAGAGGGUGAUCGGCCACACUGGGACUGAGACACGGCCCAGACUCCUACGGGAGGCAGCAGUAGGGAAUCUUCGGCAAUGGACGGAAGUCUGACCGAGCAACGCCGCGUGAGUGAAGAAGGUUUUCGGAUCGUAAAGCUCUGUUGUAAGAGAAGAACGAGUGUGAGAGUGGAAAGUUCACACUGUGACGGUAUCUUACCAGAAAGGGACAGCUAACUACGUG